CGGUAGAGAGAAGCUUGCUUCUCUUGAGAGCGGCGGACGGGUGAGUAAUACCUAGGAAUCUGCCUGGUAGUGGGGGAUAACGUUCGGAAACGGACGCUAAUACCGCAUACGUCCUACGGGAGAAAGCAGGGGACCUUCGGGCCUUGCGCUAUCAGAUGAGCCUAGGUCGGAUUAGCUAGUUGGUGAGGUAAUGGCUCACCAAGGCUACGAUCCGUAACUGGUCUGAGAGGAUGAUCAGUCACACUGGAACUGAGACACGGUCCAGACUCC
This 270-nucleotide ribosomal RNA is filed under the name uncultured Pseudomonas sp. RNAcentral describes it as "partial 16S ribosomal RNA". It matches the Rfam family "Bacterial small subunit ribosomal RNA", at positions 67 to 339 of the family's 1533-position model. Lineage: Bacteria; Pseudomonadati; Pseudomonadota; Gammaproteobacteria; Pseudomonadales; Pseudomonadaceae. The record is from RNAcentral.